Bubalus bubalis (water buffalo) is the source of this 1401-nucleotide long non-coding RNA. RefSeq lists it as uncharacterized. The record is from RefSeq and is a predicted model, not a curated record. NCBI's taxonomy places the organism in Eukaryota, Metazoa, Chordata, Mammalia, Artiodactyla, Bovidae. The transcript is spliced from 4 exons.
UGUGGUACAGAUGGAAGCCUUUCAAAGCCUUUGCAUUUUCCUCUUCAGCCUCCUCUCCCCAGGCUUUUCGGUCUGUCUGGUGCCUGUUCCUUCCAGCCCCCCCUUGCCCCCCGUUGGGCAGCAUAUGUCUUUAAAUUAUUUCAACAGACACCGCCUAGGAAGCAGCUCCAGUCUUGAAAGACUUUCAAGGGGAGGCAAAACAAAGGCACAUGCCUACGCCAAUCCCUCAAGAAGCUACCAGGCAGAUCAAAAGGUACAACCACAGUUCUUUGAGAACAAAGGCUCUGUUACCCUUUCUUCCUCCAGCAAAACACACCAAAAAUGCAGGCCACUGUUCCUGCACCCACCACUGAGCUGGGGAGAAGGAAACGGUAAGCAGGUUGCAAUUUUGGUGCCAUAUCUAAGCACACUGUACCUAACCCAAGACUCAAGGAAAUGAAGGUGCAGGAGAUUAAACAACUUGCUCAGGAUCAUUGGGUUGGGAACACGGGUUCUAUCCCUCGUUGGAGACCUAGGAUCCCACAUGCCGCAGAGCAAAUAAGCCGACACACCACCAUUACUGAGCCCGUGGGCCACAACAAAAGACCCCGCAUGCCACGACUAGGAGCUGACCCAGCUAAAGGUAUAUAUACAUAUAUACAUAAAAGAACGUAUCGCGGCCAAGAGAAACUUGAGGCUCCCUGAGGCUGUGUUAAUAGAGGGGUGGUGCCCAGAGCGAGGGAGGUGAGUCUCACUGCAGAGGCCAUACCUGCAGUCUAUGUCCAGUUCAUUUUAAGAACACUGGUGAACUGGAGUAUAUUCAAAGAGGCACCCAAGAUGUUGGGGGGCAGGGGUGUGAAGAGGGUCUGAAAACCACCGGAAAGCAGAGGUAUUUAGCUUGAAAAAGGGAAGAUUCAGGGUGGAGGAUGUGAGAGCUGACCUUUAGUUCCAGACCACGGCAGUCACAGUUGCCUAAUUAAAGUAGAUGGUGAGCUUCCGGUCGCCGGUGGUAUGCAAACCAAGGCAUGGCCACCUGUUGAUGUGGGCGCAUGGUCGGAUUGAUUGAACGUGUGGUUGGACCACAGGGCCAUGGAGGCUCCUUUCAUGUUGAGUGUCUGUGGGGCUCUGAUUUUUGGAAAGACGUGGGAGGGCUUACGCUAGAAGGAGAGUGUCCUGAAUUGAAUGUCUGUAUCUCUCUGAAAUUCACGUGUGGUGGCCCUAACCCGUGCAUCGGUAUGGAAGUCAUUAAGGACUGGACUGUUGUCCUUCCAAGAAGAGAUGCCAGGAAGCUCCUCCUCUCUCCCUCUCUCCAUGGGCACCAAGGAAAGGCCAUGUGAGGACCCAGGGAGAAGGCAGCUCUCUGCAAGCAAGGAAGUGGGUUCUCGCCAGGAGCUGAAUGGGUUGGCACCUCGAGCUUGGACU